GAUGAACGCUAGCGGCAGGCUUAAUACAUGCAAGUCGUGGGGCAGCGCAGUGUAGCAAUACAUGGGCGGCGACCGGCAAACGGGUGCGGAACACGUACGCAACCUUCCUUCAAGUGGGGGAUAGCCCAGGGAAACUUGGAUUAAUACCCCGUAAUAUUACGAAGCGGCAUCACUUUGUAAUUAUAGCAGCAAUGCGCUUGAAGAUGGGCGUGCGCCUGAUUAGGUAGUUGGGGGGGUAACCGCCCACCAAGCCUGCGAUCAGUAACUGGUGUGAGAGCACGACCAGUCACACGGGCACUGAGACACGGGCCCCACUCCUACGGGAGGCAGCAGUAAGGAAUAUUGGUCAAUGGACGCAAGUCUGAACCAGCCAUGCCGCGUGGAAGAAUGAAGGUCCUCUGGAUUGUAAACUUCUUUUAUCUGGGAAAAAACACAUGGUUUCUACUGUGGUUGACGGUACCAGAUGAAUAAGCACCGGCUUAACUCCGUGCCAGCAGCCGCGGUAAUACGGGAGGGUGCAAGCGUUAUCCGGAUUCACUGGGUUUAAAGGGUGCGUAGGCGGGCAGGUAAGUCAGUGGUGAAAUCCCCGAGCUUAACUUGGGAACUGCCGUUGAUACUAUCUGCCUUG
This 628-nucleotide ribosomal RNA is filed under the name uncultured bacterium. RNAcentral's name for it is "bacterial SSU rRNA". It matches the Rfam family "Bacterial small subunit ribosomal RNA", at positions 28 to 644 of the family's 1533-position model. The record is from RNAcentral.